AAUUCUUGGAGAGAGGAGUAGGUCGGUUCUUUAAGUUCGAACCUCUAUAAAUUUAUGGCGUUGUCUCUCUUCCCUUAACUUUUUACUUUCCGCUUUUUUUAUCCUUACUUUCAGCUUCAUAUCCAAAUGGUUUUUAGAAAAUGUUUCCAAAUGUUUAUUUAGAAAAUAAUUUUGUUUUAAACCAUCAUUUUUCAAACCUCCACAAUUCACCCUCUCUCUUGU
This 222-nucleotide long non-coding RNA is filed under the name Lathyrus oleraceus (garden pea). Its description in RNAcentral is "Pisum sativum (pea) long non-coding RNA (PSAT_LNC019640)". Lineage: Eukaryota; Viridiplantae; Streptophyta; Magnoliopsida; Fabales; Fabaceae. The record is from RNAcentral.